AGAUGGCGGUAGCUGGGGCGGUGUCCGGGGAGCCGCUGGUGAACUGGUGCACCCAGCAGUUGCGGAAGACUUUCGGCCUGGAUGUCAGCGAGGAGAUCAUUCAGUGAGAACAGUUCGGGUCCAAGCGGGGAAGGAGCUCUGGGAUGUGCACUGCCUGAGCGAACCGGGAAGCGGGGAGGACUGAAAAUAGAGACAGGGUUUCACCAUGUUAGCCAGGAUGGUCUCCAUCUCCGGACCUGGUGAUCCACCCACCUCAGCCUCCCAAAGUGCUGGGAUUACAGGUAUGUUUUGUCAAUUGAGAGUGCUGAAGAGAUACGAGAAUAUGUUACUGAUCUCCUCCAGGGAAAUGAAGGCAAAAAAGG
This 362-nucleotide small RNA is filed under the name Pongo abelii (Sumatran orangutan). RNAcentral's name for it is "processed transcript". The record is from RNAcentral. Lineage: Eukaryota; Metazoa; Chordata; Mammalia; Primates; Hominidae.